CCUAUGGCAAAGUGUGCCUCUCAUUUCCCUGUAGCAGCUGUUCCUCACAGAGGAUAACCAUUGACUCAAAUGGUAGAUUGAAAGGUUUCCAGCAUUGCAGAUGACCCACACAGAGGAAAUUUUUGCUUCCUAAAAAUGUGCAUACUCCUUGGAAAUAACUACAUUUCCCUGAAUUUCUGAAGAAUUGAAAGCUGAGGAGCAGCCCAAAUCACAAUGUCCGAGAGAAUCUGUUGUUUAAACAGGUUGGCUGCUACUGAACCAGGAGAGGAGAAGUAGGUUCACCUCUGAUUUAACUGGCACUCCUGCCUUCCCAAAUGAGGCUGGACUUUUCCCUAAUGCCAAGGACCAGAGGCUGGGAUGGGCAUGUGUGCAAAAGGCAUCCUGGUGCGUCAUCUGUCAGUUCCCGUAUUUCCAUGUUUCCCUCAGGUCACCAUUGAGAUGAGCGAUCUUAGCUUGGUUCUUGGGACAUAAAAAGCUUUUCAGUUCACAAAACCCAUCAUCGCUACCCUGACUAUGACUGAUUGCCAUCACCACCCUCAUGCCCACCUGAAAACACUGAUUCUGUAGAUCCAAGUGCAUAGCUAGUGCUACGAGUCUAGGGAAUGAUUUUAGUUAUAUCGAAGAGACGUGUAGCGGGGACUCCUGGAAACUGUGUCUAGUCCUCUUUGGACAGCAAAUGGCUGGGGCUGAAAUGGAGACAGAGCACAUUCCUGGAACAAUCUUUAAAAUAGAUCUAGGAUCAUCUCUAUCCUUUAGGACUGAGAACUUGGGGUGGGACCCCACUCAGGUGAGCCAUAAUGGUGAGAGAAAAGGGAAGUUACGUGGCUGCUUGAGCAAGUGUCAAAUACAGAAGAUGACAUACAGCUGGGCACUGAAGUAAUUUCGCCUGGGUUUGUUUACAAGAAGUAGAAGUCAGACUAACAAGGCCUUAGGAGCAGGGGGCAGUGUAAACAGUUAA
Mauremys reevesii (Reeves's turtle) is the source of this 958-nucleotide long non-coding RNA. RefSeq lists it as uncharacterized. The record is from RefSeq and is a predicted model, not a curated record. The transcript is spliced from 4 exons. Lineage: Eukaryota; Metazoa; Chordata; Testudines; Geoemydidae.